GACGAACGCUGGCGGCAUGCCUAACACAUGCAAGUCGAACGAGACCUUCGGGUCUAGUGGCGCACGGGUGCGUAACGCGUGGGAAUCUGCCCUGGGGUACGGAAUAACAGUGAGAAAUUACUGCUAAUACCGUAUGAUGACGUAAGUCCAAAGAUUUAUCGCCCUGGGAUGAGCCCGCGUAGGAUUAGCUUGUUGGUGAGGUAAAAGCUCACCAAGGCGACGAUCCUUAGCUGGUCUGAGAGGAUGAUCAGCCACACUGGGACUGAGACACGGCCCAGACUCCUACGGGAGGCAGCAGUGGGGAAUAUUGGACAAUGGGCGAAAGCCUGAUCCAGCAAUGCCGCGUGAGUGAUGAAGGCCUUAGGGUUGUAAAGCUCUUUUACCCGGGAAGAUAAUGACUGUACC
RNAcentral lists this ribosomal RNA (405 nucleotides) under uncultured bacterium. RNAcentral describes it as "bacterial SSU rRNA". It matches the Rfam family "Bacterial small subunit ribosomal RNA", at positions 28 to 479 of the family's 1533-position model. The record is from RNAcentral.